ACGAACGCUGGCGGCAUGCCUAACACCUGCAAGUCGAACGAGACCUUCGGGUCUAGUGGCGCACGGGUGCGUAACGCGUGGGAACCUGCCCUUAGGUUCGGAAUAGCUCCCCGAAAGGGGUGCUAAUACCGGAUAAUGUCUUCGGACCAAAGAUUUAUCGCCUUUGGAUGGGCCCGCGUUGGAUUAGCUAGUUGGUAGGGUAAAAGCCUACCAAGGCGACGAUCCAUAGCUGGUCUGAGAGGAUGAUCAGCCACACUGGGACUGAGACACGGCCCAGACUCCUACGGGAGGCAGCAGUGGGGAAUAUUGGACAAUGGGCGAAAGCCUGAUCCAGCAAUGCCGCGUGAGUGAUGAAGGCCUUAGGGUUGUAAAGCUCUUUUACCCGGGAUGAUAAUGACAGUACCGGGAGAAUAAGCUCCGGCUAACUCCGUG
RNAcentral lists this ribosomal RNA (432 nucleotides) under uncultured bacterium. RNAcentral describes it as "partial 16S ribosomal RNA". It matches the Rfam family "Bacterial small subunit ribosomal RNA", at positions 29 to 507 of the family's 1533-position model. The record is from RNAcentral.